ACCUGAUGGAAUACUGAAACAAUUGCUGCCUGCUGUCCACACACCACAUAAAAUAUGUGGAUUUCCUAAAUUCUGCAAAAAAGAAUUGGAAGCUGAUCAAGCAAUACUGAAACUCCCUCUUCUCCAGAAGAGACAUCCUUGCCUCCAUGAAGAGGAAUGUGUGGAUGGACAUAUAUUUAAGGAAGGCACUAAACCAGAAACUACUACAUUACACCCUCUUAGAAGACUUCUAAGAUUGUUGUCAUACCUACCACAGACAUUCAGAUGAUGUGUAUUCUUGAUUGUGAUUUCAUGUUUGGAGCUGAUGAAGGAACCCAGGAGAUGAACAUAUGCCUGAGAAGAAGAACUGGUGUGGAAUUGUCAGCCAGGUUUUUGAUGAGUGCUCAGACUGCUUCCUGAUCCGGCACCACAUUUACUACAGUGGACAGAUGCUCUAGUCUCCGAUGAGGAGUUGCUAGCUGUUAGGAAGAACCUGGAAUGGGCUCCACUCAUGAGGUUUGAAGUCUCCAGAGCAGCAAGGAGAGUGGGGAGUAGAACUCAUCAUCUUUAGGUCACUCAUCAUCG
This 564-nucleotide long non-coding RNA is filed under the name Mus musculus (house mouse). RNAcentral describes it as "predicted gene, 37577". Lineage: Eukaryota; Metazoa; Chordata; Mammalia; Rodentia; Muridae. The record is from RNAcentral.